RNAcentral lists this ribosomal RNA (468 nucleotides) under uncultured bacterium. RNAcentral describes it as "partial 16S ribosomal RNA". It matches the Rfam family "Bacterial small subunit ribosomal RNA", at positions 28 to 507 of the family's 1533-position model. The record is from RNAcentral.
GACGAACGCUGGUGGCGUGCUUAACACAUGCAAGUCGAACGGAAAGGCCCUGCUUUUGUGGGGUGCUCGAGUGGCGAACGGGUGAGUAACACGUGAGUAACCUGCCCUUGACUUUGGGAUAACUUCAGGAAACUGGGGCUAAUACCGGAUAGGAGCUCCUGCUGCAUGGUGGGGGUUGGAAAGUUUCGGCGGUUGGGGAUGGACUCGCGGCUUAUCAGCUUGUUGGUGGGGUAGUGGCUUACCAAGGCUUUGACGGGUAGCCGGCCUGAGAGGGUGACCGGCCACAUUGGGACUGAGAUACGGCCCAGACUCCUACGGGAGGCAGCAGUGGGGAAUAUUGCACAAUGGGCGGAAGCCUGAUGCAGCAACGCCGCGUGCGGGAUGACGGCCUUCGGGUUGUAAACCGCUUUCGCCUGUGACGAAGUGUGAGUGACGGUAAUGGGUAAAGAAGCACCGGCUAACUACGUG